This 73-nucleotide transfer RNA is filed under the name Defluviitalea saccharophila. Its description in RNAcentral is "tRNA-Lys". It matches the Rfam family "tRNA". Rfam says of the family: Transfer RNA (tRNA) molecules are approximately 80 nucleotides in length. Their secondary structure includes four short double-helical elements and three loops (D, anti-codon, and T loops). Further hydrogen bonds mediate the characteristic L-shaped molecular structure. tRNAs have two regions of fundamental functional importance: the anti-codon, which is responsible for specific mRNA codon recognition, and the 3' end, to which the tRNAs corresponding amino acid is attached (by aminoacyl-tRNA synthetases). tRNAs cope with the degeneracy of the genetic code in two manners: having more than one tRNA (with a specific anti-codon) for a particular amino acid; and 'wobble' base-pairing, i.e. permitting non-standard base-pairing at the 3rd anti-codon position. RNAcentral also lists the same sequence under 2 other names. The record is from RNAcentral. Lineage: Bacteria; Bacillati; Bacillota; Clostridia; Lachnospirales; Defluviitaleaceae.
GGGCUACUAGCUCAGCCGGUAGAGCACUGGACUUUUAAUCCAGGUGUCCCGGGUUCGAGUCCCGGGUAGCUCA